AGUGAACGCUGGCGGUAGGCCUAACACAUGCAAGUCGAACGGCAGCACAGUAAGAGCUUGCUCUUACGGGUGGCGAGUGGCGGACGGGUGAGGAAUACAUCGGAAUCUACUUUUUCGUGGGGGAUAACGUAGGGAAACUUACGCUAAUACCGCAUACGACCUACGGGUGAAAGCAGGGGAUCUUCGGACCUUGCGCGAUUGAAUGAGCCGAUGUCGGAUUAGCUAGUAGGCGGGGUAAAGGCCCACCAAGGCGACGAUCCGUAGCUGGUCUGAGAGGAUGAUCAGCCACACUGGAACUGAGACACGGUCCAGACUCCUACGGGAGGCAGCAGUGGGGAAUAUUGGACAAUGGGCGCAAGCCUGAUCCAGCCAUACCGCGUGGGUGAAGAAGGCCUUCGGGUUGUAAAGCCCUUUUGUUGGGAAAGAAAAGCAGCAGGUUAAUACCCCGCUGUUCUGACGGUACCCAAAGAAUAAGCACCGGCUAACUUCGUGC
RNAcentral lists this ribosomal RNA (493 nucleotides) under uncultured bacterium. RNAcentral's name for it is "partial 16S ribosomal RNA". It matches the Rfam family "Bacterial small subunit ribosomal RNA", at positions 29 to 508 of the family's 1533-position model. The record is from RNAcentral.